RNAcentral lists this ribosomal RNA (488 nucleotides) under uncultured bacterium. Its description in RNAcentral is "partial 16S ribosomal RNA". It matches the Rfam family "Bacterial small subunit ribosomal RNA", at positions 28 to 507 of the family's 1533-position model. The record is from RNAcentral.
GAUGAACGCUAGCGGCAGGCUUAAUACAUGCAAGUCGAGGGGCAGCAGGACUGUAGCAAUACAGUUGCUGGCGACCGGCACACGGGUGCGGAACACGUACGCAACCUACCCAAAACUGGGGGAUAGCCCGGGGAAACCCGGAUUAAUACCUCGUAACCUUUUUAAGUGGCAUCACUUGAUAAGUAUAGCUCCGGCGGUUUUGGAUGGGCGUGCGCCUGAUUAGGUAGUUGGUGCGGGUAACGGCCCACCAAGCCUGCGAUCAGUCACUGGUGUGAGAGCACGACCAGUCAAACGGGAACUGGGACACGGGCCCGACUCCUACGGGGGGCAGCGUAAGGGAAUGUUGGUCAAGGGACGCAAGUCUGAACCGGCCAUGCCGCUGAAAGAAUGAAGGUCCUCUGAAUUGUAAACUUCUUUUAUGGGGGACGAAACCCGGAUAUUCUUAUCCGUUGGACGGAACCUCAGAAAGAGGCACCGCUAACUCCGUG